CUUAAAUUGGAUUCCACAAGUGUAUUUCUUAUGAAAUGCUUUAUGAGAUUGUUCAUCGUCUUCAUCCCCACGAGCAUAUUUGAUUCCACAGGUGGAACAAAAAUGGAGCAAAAAAUCAGACUGACCAAAAAGUAAAUGACGAAUCGUCUGGAAUUGGAAUUUUUGUCUCCAAGUCGACGCAUUGUGGACUUGUCACAUUCCUUAGAAUUAAACGAAAAGGAUUUCAUCAAUAACAGCCAAUUACAAUUUCUGGGGAGGAAGAGGAAGAAGAAGAAGAAGAAGAAGAAGAAGAAGAAGAAGAAUGUGGGGUACCUGCGCUUAUAGGUGUUGAUAUAUUGGUGCUCUGCCUUUUCCCAGAUCUUUAAUGUUCCAUAGUCGCUGUCGUCAGCGUUUGAAUUCAAGGGUUCCGGCGACCUGUGUGAUGAAAUCGAAGAAGGGCGUUUGAAGAAGGUGCUGAUUUUAGAUUGCAUGAUUGGAAAGAUUUCAAUUGCAAGUUCAGGACAAGAAGGUUCAUUCUGCA
Benincasa hispida (wax gourd) is the source of this 520-nucleotide non-coding RNA. The record is from RefSeq and is a predicted model, not a curated record. Lineage: Eukaryota; Viridiplantae; Streptophyta; Magnoliopsida; Cucurbitales; Cucurbitaceae.